This 275-nucleotide unclassified non-coding RNA is filed under the name plant metagenome. RNAcentral describes it as "partial contains small subunit ribosomal RNA and internal transcribed spacer 1". The stretch from base 1 to 46 matches the Rfam family "Eukaryotic small subunit ribosomal RNA", at positions 1786 to 1831 of the family's 1831-position model. The record is from RNAcentral.
AAGUCGUAACAAGGUUUCCGUAGGUGAACCUGCGGAAGGAUCAUUACAAAUAAAGCUGGUAGGAAGUAGGGGUCUUUAGAUCUGUAAGUGGUACGAGCGGAACAGUCCGGCUGCCUCCCGAAAUGUCUUACAUGUCCCCCAACAGCCUGAAUGGCCGAAUUGACUAAGCCCUUGAUUAUCUACACUUGUUGCUUUCGGGGUCUCAAGUGCCCCAGAGGACCCUAACUCUCUUAGCCAUUUAAGUGACGUCUUGAGUACUAUAUAAGUAUUUAAAA